This is a non-coding RNA of Podarcis muralis (Common wall lizard), 1557 nucleotides long. The record is from RefSeq and is a predicted model, not a curated record. Lineage: Eukaryota; Metazoa; Chordata; Lepidosauria; Squamata; Lacertidae.
GUUUCCAGGGGAAACCUAAUGACGCAAUGACGUCAAUGCAGGUCAGCGGCAGACUGGAUGGAGGAGCCGCGCCGCCGCCUGCCUGCCUCCCCUCCGCUUCUGGGGGGCUCCAUCUUCUACGAGGGGCGCCCAGGAAAGGCGGCCGGUGCGAGCUGCAAGACUUUGCAUAGGCGGGGGGGGGGGAGAGACGUUGGAGCCUCCCCUCCGCCCGACCCCGCCAAGUGGAAGGAGCUUGCCAUGGGGCGCUUUCUUGAUGCAGAGGGGGUGGUGAUGGAGGAGGAGGAGAGACGUGACUCCGGAGGGCCGUGGCGCCGGCUGGACCCGCGGAAGGACCCCCUCCCCGCGACCCCCAGGGCAGUCGUCCUUCUGCUGUCGCUUCCUGCCUCCACCCUCACCUUCUCUCUCUCUCUCUCUCUUGAAUCUUUUUGCGGUCUGGGCUUGCUGUUCCUCCAGUCAGUAGUCAGGAAGCCCUUACCCCAAAAAGUAUUUGCGAGGGAUCAAGUCGUCUCCGCAGGAAACAAGGAGGACUGUGGAUGCAAAGGUACGCAAAACUUGAGGCCAUGUGGAUGUUUGCAGGCAUGAGAGAGCAUUGGGAUGGGGGGGUUGUCCCUUUGUGGAUCAGCAGCCCACCCCUCCCUUGGGGGAACACGGAGCAGCAUGGAAUCGUGGAACUGUGGAGCUGGAAGGGUCCUCUAGUCCAACCCCCUGCAGAACCUCCAUGGCUGAAGGCCAUCCAACCUCUGCUUAAGAACCUCCAAGGAAGGAGAGUCCAUCGGAGACGACUCCUGGGCACAGGAGGAUUCUGGUGCUUGGGCCAUCUGAAUCGCUUGCCAGGAUCACAAACAGUGGCGCCGAAACCUUUAUGAGCAACAGCGUGCCAGACUGUCACUUGCGCUCACGACAAAACAAGGGAGAGAGGAAACCCGUUUGCCAGAAGAUGGUGCCACUGGAGCAGGAUGAGCUGAAACAGCUGCUGGUGCUGAGACGACAUUUGACAUUUGGAGGGCAGAAAGGGUUCAGGGGAGGGCGGGAGGCUCAGGGCAGAAAGAGGGGAGGGGGUGGUCCCAGGCUGAAUCGUGACUUCUCCAGUUUAAAAAGGAACCACAGGGAGUGGGGCUGUGGAAGACGGAGAGUCAUGGACCUUGGAGAAGCAUCACUGCCAAUCAGAGCAGAUGAUAAGGGCUGGAGGGACCAUAAGAGACAUGCGCAUUGCCUUGCCCCCGUGACUGAGAGAGUCCAGGGGUUCCCGACUAAAGAACUGUGGCGAGAGAAACUGACGGACUAUGCAGAAUUGGUGAAACUGACACAUAAACUGAGUGACAAGGGCAACUGUGACUUUAAAGAAGAAUGGGAACCUUUCACAAAGUACUUAAAGAAACAACAAAACGAACUGGACUCCUUGGCAGGUUUUGAAUAAACAUACACAAAUUUAUUACUAACAACCUAUAGAUAGAUAAAUUAAGGUUCUUUACAAUUUUAGAAUAUGCAGAGAAUUACAUGUUCAGUGGUGCCCCGCAAGACGAAUGCCUCGCAAGACGGAAAACCUGCUAGACGAAA